AAAGAAUAAAAAGAAACUUUGUUGUUUAAUUUAAUUCAACUUAAAAUUAAUAUGAAAGAAAAUACGAAAAAUAUCUAUUUGAAAACCCCCCUUGUUUUUUUUAUUGUAUCUAAUUUUUUCUAUUUUCCUUCUUCAGUUUAGAAGAAAAGAAGAAAGAGUGACCUUAGAAUGUCAUUUACUUUUUUUCCUUUGAUUUUAAUCCAUUAGAUUUAGUAGUAGGAGUUUCCAUUCUUCUAAUAUAUACAACGAGAAGAAAGAGGGUAUCAGAUCACUCGAAACUGGUAUUCCGCCGUUUUUUUCUUUCCCCUUUUCUAUUUAUAAUUUUAAUAAAAAAAAGCUUUAUCCUUGUAAUUAAGCCAAGAAAGAACCUUUUUUGUGUCUAAUACAAGAACAACUAAUCAACUUUUUCUUCCAUCAAAUAGUAUUUAAUUUAUUACCGCUAUUAUUGUUACUGAACGACUAACCAAUUCCACUCUUUAAAAUUAAAUAAAAGGGAGUAGGUUCCAACAAAAAAAACAUCUUUGACAAUCACAAAAAAGUAUAUUUCUAGAUUUCACAUCUAAUUGAAUUGUAGAAAUAUGAUAAUUUCCUUCCUGAAUUAUUAGAAACCAAUCGGUCGGAUUACCAUUUUAAUUGAUUCUCAGUUUCGAGUAUAGUGCGAAACUAAUAAUAAUAGAAUAAUGUCGAGAACCCUAAUUUUAGAGUAUAAAAAAAUUCUUAUACUCUCAUUUAGUACAGUACAUCGAGACAACCAAACCAACAAGCAAAGAAGAAAAAAAUUAUCUAGUCCUUAAUCUCGCCACUUAUUGUGAAAUUGAAUUGCUGUAUCAGAAGAAGGAUAGCUAUACUGGUUCGGUAUACUCGAAAGACACCCUUGGUACAAUAUUGACGAUCUAACAAAGAUUAAAUUUCAGUAAAUUUCUACUUACUGAUGAUUUCAUCUUUUAUGGAAUCGACCCCCUUUUUACUGUACAAGAAUAUGUGGAGUUCGACAUGUCUGGAAGCACAGGAGAACGUUCUUUUGCUGAUAUUAUUACCAGUAUUCGAUACUGGAUUAUUCAUAGCAUUACUAUACCCUCCCUAUUCAUUGCGGGGUGGCUAUUUGUCAGCACGGGUUUAGCUUACGAUGUAUUUGGAAGUCCCCGCCCAAACGAGUAUUUUACAGAGAGCCGACAAGGAAUUCCAUUAAUAACCGGCCGUUUUGAUCCUUUGGAACAACUCGAUGAAUUUAGUAGAUCUUUUUAGGAGGCUCAAAUGACCAUAGAUAGGACCUAUCCAAUUUUUACAGUACGAUGGUUGGCUGUUCACGGACUAGCGGUACCCACCGUUUCUUUUUUGGGAUCAAUAUCAGCAAUGCAGUUCAUCCAACGAUAAACCUAAUCCGAAUUAUAGAGCUACGACACAAUCAAACCCAAACGAACAAAAUGUUGAAUUGAAUCGUACCAGUCUCUACUGGGGUUUAUUACUAAUUUUUGUACUUGCUGUUUUAUUUUCAAAUUAUUUCUUCAAUUAAUAGAAGAAAAGGAAAUAGUAAGAAUUAUCUUAUCCCAGUCGGAAAGAUAUCAUUUCAUAAUUAUCUAUGACUGUUUAUGUCUCUAGCAUGACUACUUAAUAAAAUGUGGAGGAAAGUGGGAUAAAUGGCCGAUACUACUGGAAGGAUUCCUCUUUGGAUAAUAGGUACUGUAACUGGUAUUGCUGUGAUCGGUUUAAUUGGUAUUUUCUUUUAUGGUUCAUAUUCCGGAUUGGGCUCAUCCCUGUAGUAAUUGGAUGAAUUGAGUUUUCGAAAUGAAAGUGUAAGAACUCAACAGGGAUCCACCCUUUCUUUGACAAAUUCGAGGGGGUCCCGUUGAGUUCUUAAUAAUUAAAAUAUUUUUUGUUCGUACAAAUGACUCACUAGAUAUUAGAUUGCUUUUUGCGAUUAAAAAAAAAACUCCAUUUAUUUCAUUGUUUUUGAUGAUGUUUUUGAAAAAUCAACUUCAUUAAUUGAUUCAAAACAUCUUUUACGGAAUAAUAUCUGUCAAUACUUUUUAUUUAAAAUUGAAAGAAAGAUAAAGUAAAAAAAAAGAAAGAAUAAAAGGAAUCGCUUGAUUUACUUUUUCUGGGUGGUGCAAUAUAAAUAUAAUGAAUUCUAUUGUAUUAUAUUGGAAUACAUUCUUAAUUAUAUUCUAUAUAUUUAUCGAUCAAAUAUCAUGUGAACCUAACCUUUCUUAAGUAUCCUAAUCGAAUCUUACUCUAAAUCGAUUUUAUUUUAGUAUCUAAUAGUAUCGAAUCAUGAUUGAAUUCUUUUUUCUAAACAAGUUAAUUGAAGACGUUUUGUAUUUGGUCAAUAAAAUUCCCUCUCUUUUUUGUGUUUGUCCACUACUCCACCACAUAUUAUAUGUCAUAAACAUAAAAGUUCUAAGUUGGAAAAAAUCGAAACUAAGAAUAGGAUUCUUUUAGGAAGGGGAUCCAGAAGUAUUAUUUUCUUAAAAUUUUGUAGAAUAUUUCGAUACAAGCAAGAAUGAAUCGGACGGACUCUAGGAAAAGAAAAAUAAUCCCUCCUAGAAUCCCGUUUUCCCCAUUUCGAAUUCUACUGUGCUUAAUAUGCUCUGCCUAUUUAUUUAUUUUUUAUCGAGCCGAAUUUUCGUAUAUUAGAAUAGAAAUCUAUUAAUAGAUUUCUAUUCUAAUAUACGAAAAUUCGGCUCGAUAAAAAAUAAAUAAAUAGGCAGAGCAUAUUAAGCACAGUAGAAUUCGAAAUGGGGAAAACGGGAUUCUAGGAGGGAUUAUUUUUCUUUUCCUAGAGUCCGUCCGAUUCAUUCUUGCUUGUAUCGAAAUAUUCUACAAAAUUUUAAGAAAAUAAUACUUCUGGAUCCCCUUCCUAAAAGAAUCCUAUUCUUAGUUUCGAUUUUUUCCAACUUAGAACUUUUAUGUUUAUGACAUAUAAUAUGUGGUGGAGUAGUGGACAAACACAAAAAAGAGAGGGAAUUUUAUUGACCAAAUACAAAACGUCUUCAAUUAACUUGUUUAGAAAAAAGAAUUCAAUCAUGAUUCGAUACUAUUAGAUACUAAAAUAAAAUCGAUUUAGAGUAAGAUUCGAUUAGGAUACUUAAGAAAGGUUAGGUUCACAUGAUAUUUGAUCGAUAAAUAUAUAGAAUAUAAUUAAGAAUGUAUUCCAAUAUAAUACAAUAGAAUUCAUUAUAUUUAUAUUGCACCACCCAGAAAAAGUAAAUCAAGCGAUUCCUUUUAUUCUUUCUUUUUUUUUACUUUAUCUUUCUUUCAAUUUUAAAUAAAAAGUAUUGACAGAUAUUAUUCCGUAAAAGAUGUUUUGAAUCAAUUAAUGAAGUUGAUUUUUCAAAAACAUCAUCAAAAACAAUGAAAUAAAUGGAGUUUUUUUUUUAAUCGCAAAAAGCAAUCUAAUAUCUAGUGAGUCAUUUGUACGAACAAAAAAUAUUUUAAUUAUUAAGAACUCAACGGGACCCCCUCGAAUUUGUCAAAGAAAGGGUGGAUCCCUGUUGAGUUCUUACACUUUCAUUUCGAAAACUCAAUUCAUCCAAUUACUACAGGGAUGAGCCCAAUCCGGAAUAUGAACCAUAAAAGAAAAUACCAAUUAAACCGAUCACAGCAAUACCAGUUACAGUACCUAUUAUCCAAAGAGGAAUCCUUCCAGUAGUAUCGGCCAUUUAUCCCACUUUCCUCCACAUUUUAUUAAGUAGUCAUGCUAGAGACAUAAACAGUCAUAGAUAAUUAUGAAAUGAUAUCUUUCCGACUGGGAUAAGAUAAUUCUUACUAUUUCCUUUUCUUCUAUUAAUUGAAGAAAUAAUUUGAAAAUAAAACAGCAAGUACAAAAAUUAGUAAUAAACCCCAGUAGAGACUGGUACGAUUCAAUUCAACAUUUUGUUCGUUUGGGUUUGAUUGUGUCGUAGCUCUAUAAUUCGGAUUAGGUUUAUCGUUGGAUGAACUGCAUUGCUGAUAUUGAUCCCAAAAAAGAAACGGUGGGUACCGCUAGUCCGUGAACAGCCAACCAUCGUACUGUAAAAAUUGGAUAGGUCCUAUCUAUGGUCAUUUGAGCCUCCUAAAAAGAUCUACUAAAUUCAUCGAGUUGUUCCAAAGGAUCAAAACGGCCGGUUAUUAAUGGAAUUCCUUGUCGGCUCUCUGUAAAAUACUCGUUUGGGCGGGGACUUCCAAAUACAUCGUAAGCUAAACCCGUGCUGACAAAUAGCCACCCCGCAAUGAAUAGGGAGGGUAUAGUAAUGCUAUGAAUAAUCCAGUAUCGAAUACUGGUAAUAAUAUCAGCAAAAGAACGUUCUCCUGUGCUUCCAGACAUGUCGAACUCCACAUAUUCUUGUACAGUAAAAAGGGGGUCGAUUCCAUAAAAGAUGAAAUCAUCAGUAAGUAGAAAUUUACUGAAAUUUAAUCUUUGUUAGAUCGUCAAUAUUGUACCAAGGGUGUCUUUCGAGUAUACCGAACCAGUAUAGCUAUCCUUCUUCUGAUACAGCAAUUCAAUUUCACAAUAAGUGGCGAGAUUAAGGACUAGAUAAUUUUUUUCUUCUUUGCUUGUUGGUUUGGUUGUCUCGAUGUACUGUACUAAAUGAGAGUAUAAGAAUUUUUUUAUACUCUAAAAUUAGGGUUCUCGACAUUAUUCUAUUAUUAUUAGUUUCGCACUAUACUCGAAACUGAGAAUCAAUUAAAAUGGUAAUCCGACCGAUUGGUUUCUAAUAAUUCAGGAAGGAAAUUAUCAUAUUUCUACAAUUCAAUUAGAUGUGAAAUCUAGAAAUAUACUUUUUUGUGAUUGUCAAAGAUGUUUUUUUUGUUGGAACCUACUCCCUUUUAUUUAAUUUUAAAGAGUGGAAUUGGUUAGUCGUUCAGUAACAAUAAUAGCGGUAAUAAAUUAAAUACUAUUUGAUGGAAGAAAAAGUUGAUUAGUUGUUCUUGUAUUAGACACAAAAAAGGUUCUUUCUUGGCUUAAUUACAAGGAUAAAGCUUUUUUUUAUUAAAAUUAUAAAUAGAAAAGGGGAAAGAAAAAAACGGCGGAAUACCAGUUUCGAGUGAUCUGAUACCCUCUUUCUUCUCGUUGUAUAUAUUAGAAGAAUGGAAACUCCUACUACUAAAUCUAAUGGAUUAAAAUCAAAGGAAAAAAAGUAAAUGACAUUCUAAGGUCACUCUUUCUUCUUUUCUUCUAAACUGAAGAAGGAAAAUAGAAAAAAUUAGAUACAAUAAAAAAAACAAGGGGGGUUUUCAAAUAGAUAUUUUUCGUAUUUUCUUUCAUAUUAAUUUUAAGUUGAAUUAAAUUAAACAACAAAGUUUCUUUUUAUUCUUUUUUUUUUUUUAUAUUAAUUAUUAUUUUUAUUAUUUUGUAUUCCUGAUAAUAUAUAAUUUUAUAAUUAUAUAGAAUAUAAAUAAUAAAUAUUAUAUAUUCUAUUUUUAAUACAAAAUUAAAAUAAUCUAAAAUUAAGAUGAAAAUAAUCUAAUUAGAUUGGUUUACUCAACUCACGAGUUGUUCAAUGAAUUUGUUGAUUUGAAAUCACAAGAUGAGUAGAUGUCACAGAUGAUGAAUUGCUUUCUUAUCUAUGUCACUCUAUUUUGCUUCGUCUGUAAUUGAUGAAUCACAAAUAUUCAAUUGUACCUUUCAAGUUUGUUUAUUUUACAAUUUUUCUCCUCAAAAUGGAAACUUAGGGAAGUGCUUUAUAAACAUAUGUAUGUAUAAAAAAAAAAAUUUCAUUUAGCUUCUUUAUGCCCACUAUAACUAGUUAUUUCGGUUUUCUACUAGCGGCUUUAACUAUAACCUCAGCUCUAUUUAUUGGUCUGAGUAAGAUACGACUUAUUUGAUUUGAAAUGAUAAAAUGAAUUGACAAUUUUUUUAUAUUCUAGAUAUUCCACAGUUCCUUAUCGUGUCCAUUUCCAAUUUCUUGGUCGUUGGGAUUCAUGGUCAAUAUAGAUUAAUAUUUAAGGAUAGAUAUUACCUCCCCCUUUCCCUUUCAAACAAAUUCAAAUGAUUGAAGUUUUUCUCUUUGGAAUCGUGUUAGGUCUCAUUCCUAUUACUUUGGCUGGAUUAUUCGUAACUGCAUAUUUACAAUACCGACGUGGUGAUCAGUUAGACCUUUGAUCAAUUAACACCUCUUUUGUUUAUUGACCUACUAUUUCUUUGUUUUAAUCCUAAUCCCAGAGGUCAAAUUCAGACUUUAGACUGUGGUUCAAAUAUUUCGCAGUGUCGUUCUGUCUGGAUCUAACAAGAAUGGAAUCACGCUCUGUAGGAUUUGAACCUACGACAUCGGGUUUUGGAGACCCGCGUUCUACCGAACUGAACUAAGAGCGCUUUAUUCUCAUAAAUAAUUUUAUGAGACCCCAAUACAUCUUGCAGGCAUAUACUAUAUCAAUAUAUCACAAUAUAUAUUGUGAUAUAUUGAUAUAGUAUAUGCCUGCAAGAUGUAUUGGGGUCUCAUAAAAUUAUUUAUGAGAAUAAAGCGCUCUUAGUUCAGUUCGGUAGAACGCGGGUCUCCAAAACCCGAUGUCGUAGGUUCAAAUCCUACAGAGCGUGAUUCCAUUCUUGUUAGAUCCAGACAGAACGACACUGCGAAAUAUUUGAACCACAGUCUAAAGUCUGAAUUUGACCUCUGGGAUUAGGAUUAAAACAAAGAAAUAGUAGGUCAAUAAACAAAAGAGGUGUUAAUUGAUCAAAGGUCUAACUGAUCACCACGUCGGUAUUGUAAAUAUGCAGUUACGAAUAAUCCAGCCAAAGUAAUAGGAAUGAGACCUAACACGAUUCCAAAGAGAAAAACUUCAAUCAUUUGAAUUUGUUUGAAAGGGAAAGGGGGAGGUAAUAUCUAUCCUUAAAUAUUAAUCUAUAUUGACCAUGAAUCCCAACGACCAAGAAAUUGGAAAUGGACACGAUAAGGAACUGUGGAAUAUCUAGAAUAUAAAAAAAUUGUCAAUUCAUUUUAUCAUUUCAAAUCAAAUAAGUCGUAUCUUACUCAGACCAAUAAAUAGAGCUGAGGUUAUAGUUAAAGCCGCUAGUAGAAAACCGAAAUAACUAGUUAUAGUGGGCAUAAAGAAGCUAAAUGAAAUUUUUUUUUUUAUACAUACAUAUGUUUAUAAAGCACUUCCCUAAGUUUCCAUUUUGAGGAGAAAAAUUGUAAAAUAAACAAACUUGAAAGGUACAAUUGAAUAUUUGUGAUUCAUCAAUUACAGACGAAGCAAAAUAGAGUGACAUAGAUAAGAAAGCAAUUCAUCAUCUGUGACAUCUACUCAUCUUGUGAUUUCAAAUCAACAAAUUCAUUGAACAACUCGUGAGUUGAGUAAACCAAUCUAAUUAGAUUAUUUUCAUCUUAAUUUUAGAUUAUUUUAAUUUUGUAUUAAAAAUAGAAUAUAUAAUAUUUAUUAUUUAUAUUCUAUAUAAUUAUAAAAUUAUAUAUUAUCAGGAAUACAAAAUAAUAAAAAUAAUAAUUAAUAUAAAAAAAAAAAAAGAAUAAAAAGAAACUUUGUUGUUUAAUUUAAUUCAACUUAAAAUUAAUAUGAAAGAAAAUACGAAAAAUAUCUAUUUGAAAACCCCCCUUGUUUUUUUUAUUGUAUCUAAUUUUUUCUAUUUUCCUUCUUCAGUUUAGAAGAAAAGAAGAAAGAGUGACCUUAGAAUGUCAUUUACUUUUUUUCCUUUGAUUUUAAUCCAUUAGAUUUAGUAGUAGGAGUUUCCAUUCUUCUAAUAUAUACAACGAGAAGAAAGAGGGUAUCAGAUCACUCGAAACUGGUAUUCCGCCGUUUUUUUCUUUCCCCUUUUCUAUUUAUAAUUUUAAUAAAAAAAAGCUUUAUCCUUGUAAUUAAGCCAAGAAAGAACCUUUUUUGUGUCUAAUACAAGAACAACUAAUCAACUUUUUCUUCCAUCAAAUAGUAUUUAAUUUAUUACCGCUAUUAUUGUUACUGAACGACUAACCAAUUCCACUCUUUAAAAUUAAAUAAAAGGGAGUAGGUUCCAACAAAAAAAACAUCUUUGACAAUCACAAAAAAGUAUAUUUCUAGAUUUCACAUCUAAUUGAAUUGUAGAAAUAUGAUAAUUUCCUUCCUGAAUUAUUAGAAACCAAUCGGUCGGAUUACCAUUUUAAUUGAUUCUCAGUUUCGAGUAUAGUGCGAAACUAAUAAUAAUAGAAUAAUGUCGAGAACCCUAAUUUUAGAGUAUAAAAAAAUUCUUAUACUCUCAUUUAGUACAGUACAUCGAGACAACCAAACCAACAAGCAAAGAAGAAAAAAAUUAUCUAGUCCUUAAUCUCGCCACUUAUUGUGAAAUUGAAUUGCUGUAUCAGAAGAAGGAUAGCUAUACUGGUUCGGUAUACUCGAAAGACACCCUUGGUACAAUAUUGACG
Molecule: long non-coding RNA, 8327 nt
Filed under: Lupinus angustifolius (narrow-leaved blue lupine)
Lineage: Eukaryota; Viridiplantae; Streptophyta; Magnoliopsida; Fabales; Fabaceae
Description: long non-coding RNA (LANG_LNC003122)
Rfam family: tRNA (bases 6441-6514)
Source: RNAcentral